RNAcentral lists this long non-coding RNA (254 nucleotides) under Mytilus galloprovincialis (Mediterranean mussel). Lineage: Eukaryota; Metazoa; Mollusca; Bivalvia; Mytilida; Mytilidae. The record is from RNAcentral.
UCGGGGUCUAAGCGUGACGCGGGAUUGCCGUUUUUUUGUAAGCGUGACACGUGAAAGUCAAAAUAUUGUUGCGUGAAAACGGGAAAUGAGGUCUUGCGGGACCCGGGAAAUGACAAUGAGACCCCCUUUAAAUUGCUGUUCAUGGUUAUAGUAAAGUGAGUAUUAUCAGGUAAGUUUUCGCUAAAAUGGGCUAUCGAAAAUACAGGUGAACGCAAGAACGGGUUUAUACGGCGCUAUUUAAAAUGAACUCUAAU